This is an unclassified non-coding RNA of Callithrix jacchus (white-tufted-ear marmoset), 148 nucleotides long. It matches the Rfam family "Metazoan signal recognition particle RNA". Rfam says of the family: The signal recognition particle (SRP) is a universally conserved ribonucleoprotein. It is involved in the co-translational targeting of proteins to membranes. The eukaryotic SRP consists of a 300-nucleotide 7S RNA and six proteins: SRPs 72, 68, 54, 19, 14, and 9. The record is from Ensembl. NCBI's taxonomy places the organism in Eukaryota, Metazoa, Chordata, Mammalia, Primates, Cebidae.
GCCGGGCGUGGUGGUGGGCGCCUGUAAUCCCAGCUACUCAGGAGGCUGAGAUAGGAGAAUUGCUUGAACCCAGGAGGCAGAGGUUGCAGUGAGCCAAGAUCAUGCUACUGCACUUCAGCCUGGGUGACAGAGUGAGACUUUGUCUCUG